AAAGAAAAUAACAAUGAUUCCCCUAGUAACGGCGAGCGAAGAGGGAAUAGCUCAAAUUUUAAAUCUGUUGGGUCUUACCUAACCGAGUUGUAAUUUGAAGAAACGUUUUCUGCGUGUUUGAUUUAGCCCAAAUCCUUUGGGAUAAGGUAUCAUGGAGGGUGAGAAUCCCGUCCGGCCUAAUCAAAUGUGCUUUUACGAUACGUUUUCUAAGAGUCGAGUUGUUUGGGAUUGCAGCUCAAAAUGGGAGGUAAAUUUCUCCUAAGGCUAAAUAUAGGCGAGAGACCGAUAGCGAACAAGUACCGUGAGGGAAAGAUGAAAAGAACUUUGAAAAGAGAGUUAAACAGUACGUGAAAUUGUUGAAAGGGAAACGAUUAAAGUCAGUCGUACUAACGGGGAAUCAACCUUUUGAGGGUGGAAUUGUGGGAUUCAGAGUGCCUUUGUCUUUCACAACCUGCUUUUUUUGGGUGCACUUUCUCGUAUUGUAGGUCAGCAUCGGUUUCGACCGUUAUAAAAUGACUGGAGGAAUGUAGCUUCGAUCUCGUAUUGAAGUGUUAUAGCCUUUGGUAGAUGUAACGGAUGGGAUCGAGGAUUGCAAUGAAUACCCUCAUGGGCUAUCCGCCUGGCCUCUGACAUGUCACUCUGGUGCUGAAAGCUUGCUUAUGGUAUUAUAGUGUACGGUCAAAAGGUUAGAACGGAUUAAAUU
RNAcentral lists this ribosomal RNA (703 nucleotides) under uncultured Glomeromycotina. RNAcentral describes it as "eukaryotic LSU rRNA". It matches the Rfam family "Eukaryotic large subunit ribosomal RNA", at positions 58 to 640 of the family's 3401-position model. Lineage: Eukaryota; Fungi; Glomeromycota. The record is from RNAcentral.